This 31-nucleotide non-coding RNA is filed under the name Mus musculus (house mouse). The record is from RNAcentral. Lineage: Eukaryota; Metazoa; Chordata; Mammalia; Rodentia; Muridae.
UGCCGGGUACCAGCCAUUUUCAUUUGGCCAA